Molecule: long non-coding RNA, 1387 nt
Filed under: Struthio camelus australis
Lineage: Eukaryota; Metazoa; Chordata; Aves; Struthioniformes; Struthionidae
Description: lncRNA (ENSSCUG00000016538.1)
Source: RNAcentral
GCGAAGGCAUCGCGAGCGGCGUAGCGGGAACGGCACCGAGCAGCCGCCCCGGCGCUCGCCCUGCUUCUCGGGCAGGUUCCCCAAGACCAGACGAGCUUAAACACCACCCCGGCAAGGCCAAGGCACGCCGGGAUCCCGGCUGCUCCGCUCCGGGCAGGUCUUGAGGGCGACUUUAAAAGCAGUCUGGCUUGGGGCCCGAUCCUGCGCUUUCCGGGCACCCACAACUCCCUCGGGCUUGACUGUUUUCCUUGCUCGAGAGAGACGGCUGGGCCCGGGGGAGGACGAGCUCGUUCUCCCCCUUUGCAACACCACAAACUACCCGAGCUGUAAUUCAGGCACACAGGGGUCAAGCCAAGAUCCCGGAGUCCUCUCCGGGCUGUUUGCAAACGCUCGGGAUUUUUAUACCGAAGGCAAAUGCCAUUUCCCAUCCUGCGGUUUGCAACUUUUGAGGCAAGCUGCUUUUUUCAAGAUGGGAAACUGCGUUCAAAGAGCAGAAGCGCCCUUUGCAUCCAACUGAUGUCGGGCGUGCCAAAAAAGGACGUUAAGUUCUCAGGCUAAAAAUGCACGGGGAAAUCUGGGCCUCGCAGCCUCGCUAGGAUCUUUGCCGCUCGCUUCAGCGCGGUGCCAGUUUUCCCCCAAAGGACCCGUACGGCCAAGCUAUGUUGCCCCAACCCCCCGUACGCUUGGCACAGGCUGAAUCUGGAAGUGGGCACGGCGAACCCUGGGCGCCAACGUUAACACGGCGGAGCAGGGCAUGCGUGCCGGGGAAGGCAAACGCCAGCAGGCGUGUUAAAGCAUAAGGGAUUGCCCGGACCAACGUGAACGCAGCCCGAAAACGAGCUCCGUCACGCUCUGCCCUCCCGGCGCCUCGGCUGGGAAGCGGGGCGGUUAUCGUACAGAAGAAACACCAAGUGCCGCAGAUAGCUGUAUAAGCCGGAGUACGGUGCUAUUACUCACGGAGCAGGUACCGGUGUGUCAGAUAUGACCCCUCCAGCGAGCGCAAACACUGUACGCAGGGUGUACGGCCGUAAACUCAUCUUCAGCGCAAACUUCCCAAGUAACAAAAGUUUCCUGUCCAGCCAUCAGGAAAAUUUCCUCCCUCUGCGAUGCCCGCGCUGUUUCCCGGGGCGUCGGAAAUACCGGCUUCCUCCGACUCCAUUACAACCGGCUAAGCCCCCUCUGAUAACCAUCUUAUUUUUUGGCUGCAGACCUUCCCCUCGCUGCACUCGCUCAGAACCCGGUAUUAGAUGAAUUAUUUCUCUUGCGGCAUUGCCCGGAGGCCCCAGGCAAGCUCGGGGCCAAGUCGCAAUAGGUGCUGUAUGUGUUUAGAGACGGUUCUGGCACCGCAGCGCCUACGGCCUGACAACCAGCAGUACAAACUUAGAAC